GGUUUAGUAAUAGUAAAAUAUAGUAACAAUAAGUUAAAGACAGCAUCUCAAAAAUGCCAGAGUGUGAAAGCUGUUACAGGACAGACUGCUCAUAUGGAAUGUGGUACACCUGUUAUGCUGAGCAUUACUUUUGCAAUGAGCAUGCUUUGAACAAGACCCACUGUCCAGUACACCCACGCUAUCCCAGAAGGACCUAAAAAACCCUUUCUCUUCUAUUUGAAAUUAUCAUUAACCACAUUUUUGCAUUUAGUUUAUCACAGACAAUAUACACUAACUUUAUAUUUUUGCUCCUUUUUUUUCUUUUUCCUGUAACAAAUAGAGUACCAAUAGCAGCAAUGAGGAGUGUGAUGGCUGUCAUAAAACCAGUCAGUGCCUCUCAUCAGGAGUAUUGUAUUUAUGUGGACACAAUCACAGACUAUGUGAAAACUGCUCCAAUAUGAGUACAUGCCCUGUACAUCAAAGAGACCGUAGAAAAA
This 476-nucleotide long non-coding RNA is filed under the name Amphimedon queenslandica. RNAcentral describes it as "uncharacterized LOC109589725". The record is from RNAcentral. Lineage: Eukaryota; Metazoa; Porifera; Demospongiae; Haplosclerida; Niphatidae.